RNAcentral lists this ribosomal RNA (301 nucleotides) under uncultured bacterium. RNAcentral's name for it is "partial 16S ribosomal RNA". It matches the Rfam family "Bacterial small subunit ribosomal RNA", at positions 509 to 807 of the family's 1533-position model. The record is from RNAcentral.
CAGUCGCCACGGUAACACGAAGAGUGCAAGCGUUAAUCGGAAUUACUGGGCGUAAAGCGUGCGUAGGCGGUUUGUUAAGUCUGCUGUGAAAUCCCCGGGCUCAACCUGGGAAUGGCAGUGGAUACUGGCAAGCUAGAGUGUGUCAGAGGAUGGUGGAAUUCCCGGUGUAGCGGUGAAAUGCGUAGAGAUCGGGAGGAACAUCAGUGGCGAAGGCGGCCAUCUGGGACAACACUGACGCUGAGGCACGAAAGCGUGGGGAGCGAACAGGAUUAGAUACCCCGGUAGUCCCUGUCUCUUAUAC